This 584-nucleotide long non-coding RNA is filed under the name Cavia porcellus (domestic guinea pig). RNAcentral's name for it is "lncRNA (ENSCPOG00000030625.1)". Lineage: Eukaryota; Metazoa; Chordata; Mammalia; Rodentia; Caviidae. The record is from RNAcentral.
GUUUUGAGUUCUCCAACAGUGGAUUUCUGCUGUGGCCCAGCAUCCCCAGGGGAGCCCUAUGCCUGUCACCAUCAAAUCACCCACCUCCCCAAGGACAGGUCCACAAGGAACAUGUGUCCCAAGAAAUGCACUGUGGAAAACAGACACUGGGGUAGAUCGGAUGCACAAAUUAAAACUGUCAUGAGAAACAGCUUUGCGGGGGGAGACAGAUCACAAGUGGUCCUUCACCUACAGGAAUCACUGCUAACACACAGGACGCCUUUCCUCCAAUGGCCCCAAGAAGCUGCCCACUUUGGCUUCACCGAGGUUCUCACUCACGCUUACAGAGCCGGAAUUUGAGAAAAAUCCCAGGAAGAUUGGAAGCCCAAUGCCAGCAAGAGGUAGAGACUUCUUUUCUUCUGGAAAAUCAUACUUCACUCCAGCCCCAAUCACACCAGGCUUCAUCUGUGUCUACCUGAAGGUCACACACAUAGCCAAAUUUCCAUCUCAUUAAUUAUAACUCUUGGCAAGCCAUUAAAAAUCUCAUUUAAUCCUACCGUUCAUUCUCCUUUUAACUGACUUUCCAUAAUUAUAAUUCUAUUCUU